This 414-nucleotide ribosomal RNA is filed under the name uncultured microorganism. RNAcentral describes it as "bacterial SSU rRNA". It matches the Rfam family "Archaeal small subunit ribosomal RNA", at positions 459 to 872 of the family's 1478-position model. The record is from RNAcentral.
CAGCCGCCGCGGUAAUACCGGCGGCCCGAGUGGCGGCCACUAUUAUUGGGCUUAAAGCGUCCGUAGCCGGGUUGGUUAGUCUCCCGGGAAAUCUGGCCGCUUAACGGUCAGAAUUCCGGGAGAUACUGCCAGCCUAGGGACCGGGAGAGGCCGAGGGUAUUCCCGGAGUAGGGGUGAAAUCCUAUAAUCCCGGGAGGACCACCUGUGGCGAAGGCGCUCGGCUGGAACGGGUCCGACGGUGAGGGACGAAGGCCAGGGGAGCAAACCGGAUUAGAUACCCGGGUAGUCCUGGCUGUAAACGAUGCGGACUUUGUGUCGGACAAGCUAUGAGCUUGUCCGGUGCCGGAGGGAAACCGUUAAGUCCGCCGCCUGGGGAGUACGGCCGCAAGGUUGAAACUUAAAGGAAUUGGCGGG